CGUAGGUGGCAAGCGUUGUCCGGAUUUAUUGGGUUUAAAGGGUGCGUAGGCGGUUUUCUAAGUCAGCAGUGAAAUACGGCAGCUCAACUGUCGAGGUGCUGUUGGUACUGGGGAACUUGAGUACUGAUGAGGUAGGCGGAAUGGACGGUGUAGCGGUGAAAUGCUUAGAGAUCGUCCAGAACACCGAUAGCGAAGGCAGCUUACUAAGGAGUAACUGACGCUGAGGCACGAAAGUGUGGGGAUCAAACAGGAUUAGAUACCCUGGUAGUCCACACUGUAAACGAUGAUUACUCGAUGUGUGCGAUACACGGCACGCGUCUUAGCAAAAGCGAUAAGUAAUCCACCUGGGGAGUACGCCGGCAACGGUG
RNAcentral lists this ribosomal RNA (368 nucleotides) under uncultured organism. RNAcentral's name for it is "bacterial SSU rRNA". It matches the Rfam family "Bacterial small subunit ribosomal RNA", at positions 526 to 896 of the family's 1533-position model. The record is from RNAcentral.